GAUGAACGCUGGCGGCGUGCCUAAUACAUGCAAGUCGAGCGAACGGACGAGAAGCUUGCUUCUCUGAUGUUAGCGGCGGACGGGUGAGUAACACGUGGAUAACCUACCUAUAAGACUGGGAUAACUUCGGGAAACCGGAGCUAAUACCGGAUAAUAUUUUGAACCGCAUGGUUCAAAAGUGAAAGACGGUCUUGCUGUCACUUAUAGAUGGAUCCGCGCUGCAUUAGCUAGUUGGUAAGGUAACGGCUUACCAAGGCAACGAUGCAUAGCCGACCUGAGAGGGGGAUGGGACAAACGGGACCUGGGACACGGUCCAGACCCCACAGGGAGGCAGCAGUAGGGAAUCUUCCGCAAGGGGGGAAAGCCUGACGGAGCAACGCCGGGGGGGGGAUGAAGGUUUUCGGAUCUAAAACCUCUUUUAUUAGGGAAGAAAAUUUGUGUAAGUAACUGGGCACAUUUUGGCGGUACUUAAUGAGAAAGCCCCGGCGAACUACGU
RNAcentral lists this ribosomal RNA (496 nucleotides) under uncultured bacterium. Its description in RNAcentral is "partial 16S ribosomal RNA". It matches the Rfam family "Bacterial small subunit ribosomal RNA", at positions 28 to 506 of the family's 1533-position model. The record is from RNAcentral.